UCUCUCUCUCUCUCUCUCUCUCUUUCUUUCUCUCUCUCUCUCUUUCUCUCUUUGGAAGCAGAGUGAGAAUUCUUGGAGAUAAGAAUGCUUGGAGAGAAAGAGAGAGAGAGAGAGAGAGAGA
This 121-nucleotide microRNA precursor is filed under the name Marmota monax (woodchuck). The record is from RNAcentral. Lineage: Eukaryota; Metazoa; Chordata; Mammalia; Rodentia; Sciuridae.